UAGGCAAUUCAAGAUAAUAUCUUAGCAGGUACAGAACUUAUCUCAGACAAUAGAUGAUAAUAAUCAAAUAUUGUAUAUAUUGGGGGAUCGUGAAGAUUUUACCAGUGAGUAUGCAGACUCGGAAUGGCAAAGAUAAAACUUGAAUGAUCAGACAUAGAAUGAUAAGGUUGUAUGUCAAAAGGGAAACAGCCCAGAACAAGAGUUAAGGUUCCUAAAUUAUUAGUUAAGUGAAAUGAAGAAUGUAUUUAUUAAAGUCGACAAGAAGAUAGGCUUAGAAGCAGCCAUAAUUUUAUGACCUCGUAACAGAGCACUUGUUAAGUUAUAAACAGCGUCAAUAAUUUAACGGAUCUAAACAAUAUACCGAAACCUUGUCCAUGAUAUAUUAUAAAAAUUUUUUAUAAUAAAAUGGGGUAGCAGAACAUUGAAUAAAUUUACUACUUUUAUUUUUCAAAUAAAAUUAACAUUAUUUAAUUCAAGUGAGAAUGGUGACAUGAGUAACGAAAAGAAAUAAUUUAAUAUUUCCGCCUAAAGCUUAUGGCUAGCGUUAAGUACGGCCUCUAAACUAAAGUAAUGCUAAAGAUUUUUAGUGAUGAGAAAAUCUAAAAGACAUUUGACCGCAUUGUAUGUGAACAAUGUGCUGGAAAAUUAACUUUAACCUAUUAAGUCAUAGUUAUCUUCAAAGAUAACAUAGAUUAAACCGUACCUAGAUACUGACACAAGUAAGCGAGUAGAGAAUACGAAGGCGUUGAG
RNAcentral lists this ribosomal RNA (750 nucleotides) under Acremonium sp. SMH 2748. RNAcentral's name for it is "LSU rRNA". It matches the Rfam family "Bacterial large subunit ribosomal RNA", at positions 875 to 1693 of the family's 2925-position model. Lineage: Eukaryota; Fungi; Ascomycota; Sordariomycetes; Hypocreales; Bionectriaceae. The record is from RNAcentral.